CUAUCUACAGGCUUAACACAUGCAAGUCGAGGGGCAGCAUGGUCUUAGCUUGCUAAGGCCGAUGGCGACCGGCGCACGGGUGAGUAACACGUAUCCAACCUGCCGUCUACUCUUGGACAGCCUUCUGAAAGGAAGAUUAAUACAAGAUGGCAUCAUGAGUCCGCAUGUUCGCAUGAUUAAAGGUAUUCCGGUAGACGAUGGGGAUGCGUUCCAUUAGAUAGUAGGCGGGGUAACGGCCCACCUAGUCUUCGAUGGAUAGGGGUUCUGAGAGGAAGGUCCCCCACAUUGGAACUGAGACACGGUCCAAACUCCUACGGGAGGCAGCAGUGAGGAAUAUUGGUCAAUGGGCGAGAGCCUGAACCAGCCAAGUAGCGUGAAGGAUGACUGCCCUAUGGGUUGUAAACUUCUUUUAUAAAGGAAUAAAGUCGGGUAUGGAUACCCGUUUGCAUGUACUUUAUGAAUAAGGAUCGGCUAACUCCGUGCCAGCAGCCGCGGUAAUACGGAGGAUCCGAGCGUUAUCCGGAUUUAUUGGGUUUAAAGGGAGCGUAGAUGGAUGUUUAAGUCAGUUGUGAAAGUUUGCGGCUCAACCGUAAAAUUGCAGUUGAUACUGGAUAUCUUGAGUGCAGUUGAGGCAGGCGGAAUUCGUGGUGUAGCGGUGAAAUGCUUAGAUAUCACGAAGAACUCCGAUUGCGAAGGCAGCCUGCUAAGCUGCAACUGACAUUGAGGCUCGAAAGUGUGGGUAUCAAACAGGAUUAGAUACCCUGGUAGUCCACACGGUAAACGAUGAAUACUCGCUGUUUGCGAUAUACUGCAAGCGGCCAAGCGAAAGCGUUAAGUAUUCCACCUGGGGAGUACGCCGGCAACGGUGAAACUCAAAGGAAUUGACGGGGGCCCGCACAAGCGGAGGAACAUGUGGUUUAAUUCGAUGAUACGCGAGGAACCUUACCCGGGCUUAAAUUGCAGAUGAAUUACGGUGAAAGCCGUAAGCCGCAAGGCAUCUGUGAAGGUGCUGCAUGGUUGUCGUCAGCUCGUGCCGUGAGGUGUCGGCUUAAGUGCCAUAACGAGCGCAACCCUUGUUGUCAGUUACUAACAGGUUCCGCUGAGGACUCUGACAAGACUGCCAUCGUAAGAUGUGAGGAAGGUGGGGAUGACGUCAAAUCAGCACGGCCCUUACGUCCGGGGCUACACACGUGUUACAAUGGGGGGUACAGAGGGCCGCUACCACGCGAGUGGAUGCCAAUCCCCAAAACCUCUCUCAGUUCGGACUGGAGUCUGCAACCCGACUCCACGAAGCUGGAUUCGCUAGUAAUCGCGCAUCAGCCACGGCGCGGUGAAUACGUUCCCGGGCCUUGUACACACCGCCCGUCAAGCCAUGGGAGCCGGGGGUACCUGAAGUGCGUAACCGCGAGGAGCGCCCUAGGGUAAAACUGGUGACUGGGGCUAA
Molecule: ribosomal RNA, 1444 nt
Filed under: uncultured organism
Description: SSU rRNA
Rfam family: Bacterial small subunit ribosomal RNA
Source: RNAcentral